GAGUCUUGGGAUAUUUGGGGUUAAGCGUCCUUGGGUUUGAAUAGUACUGGAUUGGGUGACCUCCCGGGAAGUCCAAAUUCAAGAGAUU
Non-coding RNA from Selaginella moellendorffii, 88 nucleotides. Lineage: Eukaryota; Viridiplantae; Streptophyta; Lycopodiopsida; Selaginellales; Selaginellaceae. The record is from Rfam.